AAAAAAAAAAGUGUUUUUUGUGGGUUUAUUUUGUGAGAAUGAUAUUUUCAGUCAAAAAACACAAAGUUAUAUUUGAGGCGAGAAGCCCCUAUAAAACUUAAUAUAAUUAAAAAUACAUAUAUAUAUAAUUAUAUUAAAUUGGGGAGAUUAAUAAAUAUAAAUAACUUUCAGUCGUUUUAUAUCAUUAAUUAGUGUUUUGUUGAAUUAAUAUAUUAAUUAUAAGAUUAAGUUACUUUAGGGAUAACAGCGUUAUUUAGUUGGAGAGUUCUUAUUAAUAACUAAGAUUGCGACCUCGAUGUGAAUAAGAUAU
This 310-nucleotide ribosomal RNA is filed under the name Nannocoris sp. Pan 6847. RNAcentral describes it as "partial 16S ribosomal RNA". Lineage: Eukaryota; Metazoa; Arthropoda; Insecta; Hemiptera; Schizopteridae. The record is from RNAcentral.